CAUUAGGUGACUGAAAGUAAGUAAUGGUCUCUUAAACCAACAAAUAGUAGUUUAACACCUACUUCUAAUGG
This 71-nucleotide transfer RNA is filed under the name Anomala corpulenta. RNAcentral describes it as "tRNA-Lys". The record is from RNAcentral. Lineage: Eukaryota; Metazoa; Arthropoda; Insecta; Coleoptera; Scarabaeidae. RNAcentral also lists the same sequence under 1 other name.